Molecule: non-coding RNA, 106 nt
Organism: Lupinus angustifolius (narrow-leaved blue lupine)
Lineage: Eukaryota; Viridiplantae; Streptophyta; Magnoliopsida; Fabales; Fabaceae
Source: Rfam
AACCCAUGAUUGGGACAUUUCCUUAGCAACACUUGUAAACACUCCUAUGCCUCAUAAAACGCCUCUGCAGCACCUUGUCUAAAUGUAGAGAUUUCAAACUUGGCAU